Long non-coding RNA from Lathyrus oleraceus (garden pea), 522 nucleotides. RefSeq lists it as uncharacterized. The transcript has 2 exons. The record is from RefSeq and is a predicted model, not a curated record. Lineage: Eukaryota; Viridiplantae; Streptophyta; Magnoliopsida; Fabales; Fabaceae.
CCUUACUUGAUCAGACUAACUCACUACCAGCCAAUUUGAAAAACUUUAAAAAGUCAUAGUUACAAUCACAAUGAGAACUCAGUCUUUUUUUCUGAUUGUCCUUGUUGUUAUUUUUUCCUGUGCGUCCUUGAAUCAUGCUACCUUCCUCAACCUCAAUGAUCCAUUAGUUAAUGAGUUUGGCAACUUUGCUGUAAACGAGUACAACAAGCAAGGUAAUAAGCUGAAAUUCGAGAAGGUCGUAAAUGGUGUAUCUGAAACAACAUCCCAAGGGACCAACUACCGCAUCACGCUUUCUGCAUCAGAUGGUUCAACCUCUAAAAAUUAUGCAGCCAUUGUAUUGGAUAAUCCAAUACAACAUGUUAGAAAACUGAUGAACUUUGCACCUAUUAAAGCCUAAAUCAUUAAAGUAGUUUAUUUUAUAAAAUCAUUUAUCUUUAGUCUUCAAAUUAGUGUACCAAUAAAAUGUAUGUUUUGUAUAUCAGUAAUUGAUUAUUGAUCUAAAUAAAUUAUCAAUUUAAAUUA